This is a non-coding RNA of Dipodomys ordii (Ord's kangaroo rat), 301 nucleotides long. The record is from Rfam. Lineage: Eukaryota; Metazoa; Chordata; Mammalia; Rodentia; Heteromyidae.
GCCGGGCAUGGUGGCGUGCGCCUGUAAUCCCAGCUACUCGGAAGGCUGAGCCUGGAGGAUCGCUUGAGUCCAGGAGUUCUGGGAUGCAGUGCACUAUGCUGAUCGGGUGUCUGCACUAAGUUUGGCAUCAAUAUGGUGACCUCCCGGAGCUGGGGAACACCAGGUUGCCUAAGGAGGGGUGAACCGGCCCAGGUUGGAAACGGAGCAGGUCAAAACAUCCCUAAUCAUAAAUUUUAUUUUAUCAUAAUAUAUUAAAAACUAAGAGUUUUCUUCUUGGGCACUUAGUUCCUAUAGGUUUAAU